AGAGUUUGAUCAUGGCUCAGAUUGAACGCUGGCGGCAGGCCUAACACAUGCAAGUCGAGCGGUAGCACAGAGAGCUUGCUCUCGGGUGACGAGCGGCGGACGGGUGAGUAAUGUCUGGGAAACUGCCUGAUGGAGGGGAUAACUACUGGAAACGGUAGCUAAUACCGCAUAACGUCGCAAGACCAAAGUGGGGGACCUUCGGGCCUCAUGCCAUCAGAUGUGCCCAGAUGGGAUUAGCUAGUAGGUGGGGUAACGGCUCACCUAGGCGACGAUCCCUAGCUGGUCUGAGAGGAUGACCAGCCACACUGGAACUGAGACACGGUCCAGACUCCUACGGGAGGCAGCAGUGGGGAAUAUUGCACAAUGGGCGCAAGCCUGAUGCAGCCAUGCCGCGUGUGUGAAGAAGGCCUUCGGGUUGUAAAGCACUUUCAGCGGGGAGGAAGGCGUUAAGGUUAAUAACCUUGGCGAUUGACGUUACCCGCAGAAGAAGCACCGGCUAACUCCGUGCCAGCAGCCGCGGUAAUACGGAGGGUGCAAGCGUUAAUCGGAAUUACUGGGCGUAAAGCGCACGCAGGCGGUCUGUCAAGUCGGAUGUGAAAUCCCCGGGCUCAACCUGGGAACUGCAUUCGAAACUGGCAGGCUAGAGUCUUGUAGAGGGGGGUAGAAUUCCAGGUGUAGCGGUGAAAUGCGUAGAGAUCUGGAGGAAUACCGGUGGCGAAGGCGGCCCCCUGGACAAAGACUGACGCUCAGGUGCGAAAGCGUGGGGAGCAAACAGGAUUAGAUACCCUGGUAGUCCACGCCGUAAACGAUGUCGAUUUGGAGGUUGUGCCCUUGAGGCGUGGCUUCCGGAGCUAACGCGUUAAAUCGACCGCCUGGGGAGUACGGCCGCAAGGUUAAAACUCAAAUGAAUUGACGGGGGCCCGCACAAGCGGUGGAGCAUGUGGUUUAAUUCGAUGCAACGCGAAGAACCUUACCUGGUCUUGACAUCCACAGAACUUUCCAGAGAUGGAUUGGUGCCUUCGGGAACUGUGAGACAGGUGCUGCAUGGCUGUCGUCAGCUCGUGUUGUGAAAUGUUGGGUUAAGUCCCGCAACGAGCGCAACCCUUAUCCUUUGUUGCCAGCGGUCCGGCCGGGAACUCAAAGGAGACUGCCAGUGAUAAACUGGAGGAAGGUGGGGAUGACGUCAAGUCAUCAUGGCCCUUACGACCAGGGCUACACACGUGCUACAAUGGCAUAUACAAAGAGAAGCGACCUCGCGAGAGCAAGCGGACCUCAUAAAGUAUGUCGUAGUCCGGAUUGGAGUCUGCAACUCGACUCCAUGAAGUCGGAAUCGCUAGUAAUCGUAGAUCAGAAUGCUACGGUGAAUACGUUCCCGGGCCUUGUACACACCGCCCGUCACACCAUGGGAGUGGGUUGCAAAAGAAGUAGGUAGCUUAACCUUCGGGAGGGCGCUUACCACUUUGUGAUUCAUGACUGGGGUGAAGUCGUAACAAGGUAACCGUAGGGGAACCUGCGGUUGGAUCACCU
This 1527-nucleotide ribosomal RNA is filed under the name Klebsiella pneumoniae. Its description in RNAcentral is "bacterial SSU rRNA". It matches the Rfam family "Bacterial small subunit ribosomal RNA". The record is from RNAcentral. Lineage: Bacteria; Pseudomonadati; Pseudomonadota; Gammaproteobacteria; Enterobacterales; Enterobacteriaceae.